GAGUUUGAUCAUGGCUCAGGAUGAACGCUAGCGAUAGGCUUAACACAUGCAAGUCGAGGGGCAGCAUGGUCUUAGCUUGCUAAGACUGAUGGCGACCGGCGCACGGGUGCGUAACGCGUAUGUAACUUGCCUGGUAGAAAGGGAUAACCCGGUGAAAGUCGGACUAAUACCUUAUGGUCUUGGGUUAUUGCAUGAUGAUUCAAGUAAAGAUUAAUUGCUAUCAGAUAGGCAUGCGUUCCAUUAGUUAGUUGGUGAGGUAACGGCUCACCAAGGCGACGAUGGAUAGGGGAACUGAGAGGUUUAUCCCCCACACUGGUACUGAGACACGGACCAGACUCCUACGGGAGGCAGCAGUGAGGAAUAUUGGUCAAUGGGCGAGAGCCUGAACCAGCCACGUCGCGUGAAGGAAGACGGUUCUAUGGAUUGUAAACUUCUUUUAUAGG
RNAcentral lists this ribosomal RNA (443 nucleotides) under Porphyromonas macacae. RNAcentral's name for it is "bacterial SSU rRNA". It matches the Rfam family "Bacterial small subunit ribosomal RNA", at positions 9 to 442 of the family's 1533-position model. The record is from RNAcentral. Lineage: Bacteria; Pseudomonadati; Bacteroidota; Bacteroidia; Bacteroidales; Porphyromonadaceae.